Molecule: ribosomal RNA, 1043 nt
Filed under: uncultured archaeon
Lineage: Archaea
Description: bacterial SSU rRNA
Rfam family: Archaeal small subunit ribosomal RNA
Source: RNAcentral
UCUGGUUGAUCCUGGCAGAGGCCACUGCUAUCGGAGUUCGAUUAAGCCAUGCGAGUCGAGAGGUGUAAGACCUCGGCAUACUGCUCAGUAACACGUGGACAACCUACCCUGAAGAGGGGGAUAACCCCGGGAAACUGGGGAUAAUACCCCAUAGACUAUGGAUGCUGGAAUGCUUUGUAGUUGAAAGGUCCGCCGCUUCAGGAUGGGUCUGCGGCCGAUUAGGUUGUUGUUGGGGUAACGGCCCAACAAGCCUGUAAUCGGUACGGGUUGUGGGAGCAAGAGCCCGGAGAUGGAUUCUGAGACACGAAUCCAGGCCCUACGGGGCGCAGCAGGCGCGAAAACUUUACAAUGCGAGCAAUCGUGAUAAGGGAACUCCGAGUGCCUGUAAAAUCAGGCUGUCCGCCAGUGUAAAUAACUGGUGAAGAAAGGGCCGGGCAAGACCGGUGCCAGCCGCCGCGGUAAUACCGGCGGCUCGAGUGGUGGCCACUAUUACUGGGCUUAAAGCGUUCGUAGCUGGUCUGUUAAGUCUCUGGGGAAAUCUUCCGGCUUAACCGGAAGGCGUCUCAGGGAUACUGGCAGACUAGGGACCGGAAGAGGUGAGAGGUACUCCAGGGGUAGGAGUGAAAUCCUGUAAUCCUUGGGGGACCACCUGUGGCGAAGGCGUCUCACCAGGGCGGCUCCGACAGUGAGGAACGAAAGCUGGGGGAGCAAACCGGAUUAGAUACCCGGGUAGUCCCAGCUGUAAACGAUGCGCGUUAGGUGUAUCGGUGACCACGAGUCACCGAGGUGCCGAAGAGAAAUCGUGAAACGCGCCGCCUGGGAAGUACGGUCGCAAGGCUGAAACUUAAAGGAAUUGGCGGGGGAGCACCACAACGGGUGGAGCCUGCGGUUUAAUCGGACUCAACGCCGGGAAACUCACCGGACAAGACAGCUGAAUGAUAGUCGGGCUGAAGACUCUACUUGACUAGCUGAGAGGAGGUGCAUGGCCGUCGUCAGUUCGUACUGUGAAGCAUCCUGUUAAGUCAGGCAACGAGCGAGACCCA